Molecule: long non-coding RNA, 623 nt
Organism: Neopsephotus bourkii (Bourke's parrot)
Lineage: Eukaryota; Metazoa; Chordata; Aves; Psittaciformes; Psittacidae
Exons: 3
Source: RefSeq, a predicted model, not a curated record
AUAGCAGAACUGCAGGAUUUACAACAGUGGCAGAUACAGCCCUGACAGCUUAAACACUGUUUGCAUGUUUUCUGGUUGCUACCCCACACACUGCUAGCUGUCUCUGGUUCUGGUUUGGUGCAGAGGCUCCAAACCAUUUAAGACUUCCCGAGCUCUGGAACAGCUGGAUCAGAAACAAGCAGAUUUAUUGUCCAACAGAGUUAUCAUCCAACAUUUAAAGAACAAUACUGUGGGCAAAUUUCAACCCCCUUGACCGCAAGCUUGGGUGGAAAGGAUGGUGGCUGAUGGUGUUCCAAGAUGAUUUGUGCUGGCACCAGCAAAGCCUGAGCAGCUCUGAUAUGUCAUCGAAAUACAACUCAGACUCUGGCUUUGCCACCAAAAUGACAUGGUAACAAUAUGUGGUGGUGUGGGCACUGGAAAGAAAUGGUUUUCUGACAUUUCUUCUGUCUUCUCCAUGACUAUUUAGUACUGUUUAGAAAACAUUUAAGCAGGGGCUCCAGUCUUUUGUCCCUCUCAAAAAUCCUUGUGAGCAUGACCCAGGGGCUCCAAGGAGCUUGCCUGGCAGUGGAUGACUUAGCUAGAAAUGAGAGACAUGACAGAGAUGAGAAACAUGAUCGUUUGCA